Molecule: ribosomal RNA, 253 nt
Filed under: uncultured bacterium
Lineage: Bacteria
Description: partial 16S ribosomal RNA
Rfam family: Bacterial small subunit ribosomal RNA
Source: RNAcentral
UACGUAGGGGGCUAGCGUUGUCCGGAAUCAUUGGGCGUAAAGAGCGUGUAGGCGGCCCGGUAAGUCCGCUGUAAAAGUCAAAGGCUCAACCUUUGAAUGUCAGUGGAUACUGCCGGGCUAGAGUCCGGAAGAGGCGAGUGGAAUUCCUGGUGUAGCGGUGAAAUGCGCAGAUAUCAGGAGGAACACCAAUGGCGAAGGCAGCUCGCUGGGACGGUACUGACGCUGAGACGCGAAAGCGUGGGGAGCAAACAGG